UUCUUGCUUCAUUAACUUCCUAAACUAUAGGAUCUUCAAGGGCUGUCUCCUCAAGCAUUUAGCGCGUCCUUCCUGAUGACAUGUAUAUUCCUGCUCUAGCUCUAAGAAGCGUGACCACUCCAAGCGCUUCAGUUUUUUUUUUUUGGUAAGAUGGAUUUCCAGGGUCUUAGUUUAUUAACGUUGCAGAAUUAUUUCCUUAGCUAAUGAGAAAAGAAAUCCUAUAAUUCCUUCCUUAAUGGCACAGUUCUUCCUGAACCGACCCUAAAGUUUCCACAGCACAUGCCAAGGACAUUAAUUUGUUUAAGCUCAAGGCCAAGGUUAAGACUUCAAAGGAAAUCAGUCUGUCCCUACCCCAGAUGGGUUAAAAAUCAAUAUAAGAUAAUUAAGGAAUCACAUGAUUAUUCACUCUAGGCCUGAUCAAGGUAAAAGCUUGUGUAUGACUUUAUAAAAUAUUCAGACAUAUUUAAAACUCUUCUUCCUGUCCUCAUAACCAUGGUGUUACUUAUUCUCAUUUCAAGUUCAGCACAUACUUUAUGAAGAAACUCUACACACAAUUAUAGAUAAAGGCGCUGAGCAAGAAAGGAGGGUGCUGGGGAGGAGCCCUUCAGCCAAACGAUAAAAAAAAAAAGUUUCCUUCUGUUCCCUGCCAGCCACCACACCUUUAUGCUACUAUGGUCUUCUCUAAGCUACUCAUUAUUUAUUGUUCUUUAGGGAAAAAGCAGCAUCUGGCAUGAUAGUUUAGAUUUUGGGCUCCUCAGAAAACAAGUCUCUAGUAGUACAGUUUGGGUAUGCGUGUUUGAGUAUGUUGGGAGAGUGGAGUUGUUCUUCAGAGUAGUUAGCUAUACAGCUCUGAGUGGAACAAAUGAGGGAUCUUCAUGCCUGUAAACGCAAUGAUGGUCCAAGGCAUUUCACUUUUUAAUUGGCUCUAUAAAACAUUGGGGAUAUGAGAAGUGAAAAUGUCUAGAGAUCCCUCUCAGAAAUCCAGACUUCCUCUUAUUAGGUCUCUAAGUAUAGACAUCAGAUUGGGAGAGUGAGAAGGCAACGAACUACAGAACUAUGAAGUCUAAAGACUGCUUUCUAUAGAAACACCAGACCUUGGAUGUUUUGUAGAAAAAGUGAAUUUCCCUACAUCAACUUAAGCUUCAAAGACCAAAAAUGCUUUGAAGAACUGGAUACAUAUAAAAUCUAAAUAUUUUCUAUUUAGAUAGCCAAUAUAAAUCAAAGUUAACGGUGGCCUAGGAAUCAAGUUCAUGUAGUACAGGAUCAGUAGAAGAAGUUAAGGCAGGCAGGAGUCAGUGUGACUCAGUACUACCAUCUUGUUUCCACUCAUCAACUUUCUUGGGACCCUCUGCCAGAUUCUGACCUUUGAUAACUUAAUAAAGGAUGCAAGCAGAUGUAAAUACUGACAGAAAAAUACCACUAAGGAAGAUUCAAAAGGCCCCACCUUCUUUAAAGAGAACUGUGAAACCAGUAGGCCUUCUAGGAUGAGUGCAGAAAACAAGAGAAAACACAGAAGGGUAAGAAAUGUCAGCCUCUUGGUGCACCUGGGUGGCUCAGUCAGUCGAGAGUCGGACUUCGACUCAGGCGAGGAUUUCAUCAUUCAAGAGUAUGAGCCCCACAGCGGGGCUCGCUGCCCGUCCCGCUUUGGAGGCCCCUCUCUGCCCCUCCCCUGCACUCGUGCUCUGAGAGAAAGAAAGAGAAAGAAAGAAAGAAAGAAAGAAAGAAAGAAAGAAAGAAAGAAAGAAAGAAAGAAAGAAAGAAAGAAAGAAAGAAAGAGAAAGGAAAUAAAAAAGAAUGAAUGAAUGUCAGCCUCUUAAAGAGUCUUCGUGCUAACUGGAAGAUGCCCCAGAGCAAAAGGAAAUGAGCCAGGAAGACAGAUACUUGUCCUCUGCUCUAACCAGAGUCUAGUGCAUCUCUACUCUGUCCCUCUCCCUUCAUAUACUUCUUCUGGUGUUGUAAGAGAGCUUCUGUCUGGCUCUGAUCAAUAAGGACAAGAAAGGGGCGCCUGGGUGGCUCAGUCGGUUAAGCGGCUGACUUCGGCUCAGGUCAUUAUCUCGCGGUCCGUGAGUUUGAGCCCUGCGUCGGGCUCUGUGCUGACAGCUCAGAGCCUGGAGCCUGUUUCAGAUUCUGUGUCUCACUUUCUCUGACCCUCCCCUGUUCAUGCUGUCUCUCCCUGUUUCAAAAAUAAAUAAAAAAAGUUAAAAAAAAAUUAAAAAAAAAUAAUAAGGACAAGAAAGAGCACAAGAGGUAAGCAGAGUAAAACACUGCACUGGGCCAAGAGGAGCCUUUGCAGUGAUGCUGUCAGAUAUCACCAUAGUGCCCAGUUUUGAUAAAUGGGGUGUUAAGAGGCAUCUAACAGUUACUCAAUGUUGAAACCAUAACAGACACUGCUCCCAAUCUGCAAAUAAGACUAGGACUGCUGAAUGGUGAACACAGCACAACAGUUACUUUUUAGGGCGAACAUACUUGUGAACCAGUCUCAGCAGGGCUGCUAAGGAAAGUGAGAGGACACCAGAUGAAGAAGUUUCUUGAUGCUGGAGUGUUAGGUUUCCUUUUGUUAUUUGGAGACUGCACUGAAGCGAUAAGGCCAGAUCAAAUCUCCCUCCCAAUGUAGCCCCCUCCCUUGAAAAACGGUCAAAAACCUCAAUGCAGGUAACAAACAGCUCCCUCUCCUUAUCAAAUAUUCCACUGUCCUUGACCCUGCUGUUUGGUGAUAACCUACGUGACAGAUGGCUUGCUCCCAUGAUAGUUCAGAGCUCCUUCCUGACUAAAUGAGAGGAACUACACAGGAGAGACUUGGUGAGGCAAAGAAGCCAUUCCUAUUUACCAUACAAUAGUUCUCUAACCAACAAAAUUUAAAGGGAGGAGUGUUGCCUUCGCAAAGCCAGGACCAUGUAUGCUUUCUAAAUACUGAGGAUUAAUGUUUCUCAAGGUCCAAACAGCUUAAACACUUGUGUUUAAGAAAUGGAUCUCUUAAAAGUUGGUUUAUUUCUUCAAGUAUCAUCUAUUUUGUUUCUUCCCUCUUGUGGCACUUACUCGUGGACUGGCCACACACAAAAAAGAUGGCAGUUCAGUGAGCAGGCAGCAACGAAGUGAGGAGGUAGCUGAUCUCCGCUGAUGGAUGACCUGGUCUGAGUAGCCACUUACUGCUUUGCAGUGGCUGCUGAAAACCAGAGACUACAAAACAAAAAUGCAAAUUAGUACCAUAAUGCAAAUUAUGUUUAAUGUAAGCAAAACGGAAAAAAAUGUCACAUAUUAAACAUCUGACUUAAAAGACAUUCUUCUAGUAAACAUUAUGAAUCCUAAUAAACAACCAGUAUUUAGAACCAAAUGUAUA
This 3337-nucleotide long non-coding RNA is filed under the name Lynx pardinus (Iberian lynx). Lineage: Eukaryota; Metazoa; Chordata; Mammalia; Carnivora; Felidae. The record is from RNAcentral.